UGGGGAAUUUUGGACAAUGGGCGAAAGCCUGAUCCAGCAAUGCCGCGUGUGUGAAGAAGGCCUUCGGGUUGUAAAGCACUUUUGUCCGGAAAGAAAUCCUUGGCUCUAAUACAGUCGGGGGAUGACGGUACCGGAAGAAUAAGCACCGGCUAACUACGUGCCAGCAGCCGCGGUAAUACGUAGGGUGCAAGCGUUAAUCGGAAUUACUGGGCGUAAAGCGUGCGCAGGCGGUUUGCUAAGACCGAUGUGAAAUCCCCGGGCUCAACUGGGAACUGCAUUGGUGACUGGCAGGCUAGAGUAUGGCAGGAGGGGGGUAGAAUUCCACGUGUAGCAGUGAAAUGCGUAGAGAUGUGGAGGAAUACCGAUGGCGAAGGCAGCCCCCUGGGCCAAUACUGACGCUCAUGCACGAAAGCGUGGGGAGCAAACAGGAUUAGAUACCCUGGUAGUCCACGCCCUAAACGAUGUCAACUAGUUGUUGGGGAUUCAUUUCCUUAGUAACGUAGCUAACGCGUGAAGUUGACCGCCUGGGGAGUACGGUCGCAAGAUUAAAACUCAAAUGAAUUGACGGGGUCAUAGCUG
This 579-nucleotide ribosomal RNA is filed under the name uncultured bacterium. RNAcentral describes it as "partial 16S ribosomal RNA". It matches the Rfam family "Bacterial small subunit ribosomal RNA", at positions 355 to 932 of the family's 1533-position model. The record is from RNAcentral.